Molecule: long non-coding RNA, 1375 nt
Organism: Canis lupus familiaris (dog)
Lineage: Eukaryota; Metazoa; Chordata; Mammalia; Carnivora; Canidae
Exons: 3
Source: RefSeq, a predicted model, not a curated record
CAGAGGGAGAAGCAGGCUCCAUGCAGGGAGCCCAACAUAGGACUUGAUCCCGGGACCCCAGGAUCACACCCCGGGCCGAAGGCGCUAAACCACUAAGCCACCCGGGCUGCCCGCAUCAAACCUUUUAAUCUACUUUUUGGAAGAACUCGUCUUGCCCACUCUGCCUCAGUUUGCCAGCUAUUAUCUUAUCUUCACUUCCUAGCAGUUUCCUUUCAACCUUCCAUCAUAGUUCCACAGUAGAAAAACUCAGGUGAUCUUUCCUUCCCUCAGUCUGAAUUCUGUGCCUUCUUCAUGACUCAACACUCAAUCUUAUUUGUUUCUAAUUCCCAUGUCCCAUAUUCCAUUUAUGUAUCUGUAACUAUGAAGUAUGCCAUGUCUGCAUCUCUGUGGUUCAUUGACAGGCGGGCCUAGUCAAGUAAGUACAAACCAGUGAUUGCAAAAGAUAGGUUUCAACUAUAUGAUACAACUAUUUAGCUACAUAAGGAUAGCUAUCAUCCUUCUAAAGGUGUUGUACUGGUGCAGUCAUCUUGAGAGCAAGAAUACUCAAAAAAAAAAAAUCACACAGAAGAAAACUAGAAUUUAAAAUAUUACAUUCAACAACUGCAUGUUUCCUGGUUGUUUCUUUUGUAUCUGCUGAAAAUAUCUAUCAGUGUUUUAUGUGCAGUUAGUGCUCACAAGUACUUGGCUUGGCUGUCCAUGGCUUAGUAUCAGGUCAUUACAGGCUAUAUAUAAUAGGUAGGUGCUACUUAGUACCUUAGAGAAUUUAGAUAUUCAACCACAUGAAACAACUGAGAUUAAUGAUAAAGUGACAAACAGUGAAUAAUACUAUUAUGAGUCAAGCAUUACUCUGAGCACACUACAUCAUUUCAUUCAAGAGUCACAAUGAGGCAGGUGCUUUCUAAGAGACACUGUGGCUCGGCAUUUAAGUCACACUCAAAUCGCACAGCCAGGAAAGGAGCCAUGACCUGGACAGAAUGUAGCCAAUGGCAGAUGUGACCAGAUGCACAUGAAGAGAAAUUACAAGUGAGAAUGUAAGACCUCUUAGAUAGGCCGCUUCCAUACCAUAAAAACUUGCCUGAAACUUCAAGAUCAUCCAGCCCAGCCAAGAGCAGGCAAAUUUUGACUAGUGGACCAAUUUCUCUCUUCAAACAGCCUCACAGGAAGACAUCUAUUGAUAAGAUCAGCACAAAUGAAUUUGCCAUUUUCAUAUCAGGAUCUUCUGAGGAGCAACCAAAGACAGCAUUUGAGUGUUUGUCUACUUCCCACAAACAUCUAGCAUCAGCGGUUUCUUUUUUAGCAGGAGAAAAAGUUUCUGGUCAAGAAUGAGGCCUCUUGGGGCACCUGAGUGACUCAGUGGUUGAGUGUCUGCCUUUGG